CUUUCGUUCUCUUCUCCGAUAAUGAUUAAGGUUAACUUCUCUGGUUUCUGAUAGUUUAUGAAGUCUUAAAUCAACAAUCUCUCCGAGAUUAUGGUCGAAUGAUUUGCUGAUUUCACUGAUAUCAAAUCCCAAAUCAACCCCUAAUCUCAAAUCCAUUUUUUUUAUUCUUCAGGACUGACCUAGCAGCGCCAUUCUCCACCAUGAUUCGAUCUAUUAAUGGAAGUAAAAUGGUCCCACCAUGAUUCGAUCUCAAUUUUCGUAUUAUAUUAUUCGAUCUAUAACCAUCUUCUUCAAUCUAUAAGAAUUUUCUUUCUUCAAUCUCACUGUGAACCAUUUUCUUCUUCAAUCUUUAACUGUAAACCAUUUAAUUUGUUCUCUCUUCUUGUGCCUUUAAUUAUCUUGGUUUCUGUCAAAAUUUGAUCUUUUCAGUUUAUUAUUUUCAAGAACAAUUGUUCGAUUUUGUGAAACUUUAACCUAGAUUCUUCAAUUUAGGAUAUUUCGAGGAUUGGUUACGUGCUUUGUGAACUUAGCUUUUUCUUGAUACUUCUGUUGUUGAGUUAUUAACUAUGGGUUUCGUGAAAAGUUUGAACUUUAGGUUAUAUGUGAUAAAAAUCAAUUUGAGCAUGUUUAUCUCUAGAUAAGUGGAAUGUUGAUGAUAAAAAUAUGUUGCAGACUCUAAGCGAAUAAAUUCUCAUUGCUUUUGUUGUUGUUGUUGUGCAGGUAGAGAUUAAUAGGUUAAGUGAAGAGCUAAUUCGGUUGAAGGAUCUGAUUUUAUAGAUAAAAAAGUGAAACUUGAGUUUGAACCAAUUAUUGAAGUUUGUGGAUUCCUUGUUAAAUCUUGCAUCUCUAACUAUCUCACGGAUGGAUACACAAUAAUGGGAUAUUAAGUUUGAAAGAUGAUAUUUUGAAGAUGAAGAGAUGGUUUAGUUUGAAGGUGUUGAAAAUAACAAGCAUCAAUAUGUAAGAACAAAAUCACAAGGGAGAAAAGAGAUAAGUAAACUGACCUGGUUAGCAUACACUUGGAUCACUUCAUUCAAGUCAGAUUGAGGAAUUAUGUGCCAACCCUGGUUCGAUUGAUUCGAAUGAGCAUAUUGGAGACGAGAAGUAGUUAUCUGUUAAUAUUGUCUCUAAGGCAAUUGGGUCCAUUCUAUGAGAGCAGCAAAAAUGACAUUGAUGACAUUUUGGCGGAGAUAGAGUAGGAGGUUAGCAUGGAUGAUAUCAUCAAUGAACUGAAUUAUGGCUGCACAGUCAAUACAUCCCACUGCAAAGAUUUAUUAUCUUCUUUUACCUCUCAUUGAAGUCACAAUUCGUAGGACACCGUGCACUGACUACGCAAGUGUAAGCCAGCGAAAGCUUUAUGGAAAGAGAGGAGUUUAUAAAGACACUGAUUAGAUUACAAGAGGAGCGUGGGGAAAUCCUCGAGAAAUAUGGAAUCCUUUACAACUGUGCUUUCUCCCUAUGUGAUAAAGGAAGAGAACUAAACGACUAUUGUAUUAUGCAACUCAUUGUGGUGCCUGAAAACCGGUUACAUUUGUACUUCAAGAAUGGGCAAGUGAGAGAUGAUGACAAGGCUGAAGAGAGGGUCGAGGAGAAAGAGAAUGUUGAUGAUGCAGUCAGGGAGUUUGCGCGGCUGUUUAAGAAAGUUACAGGAAACGAAUGGGAGAGCGAGAAAAAAAUCCAGAAGAAGCAUACAAAAUUCUAUCUUGUAGACAUGGGUGAUGGUGUCGAUGUUCAACACGGUGGUCUGGGUCUCAGACAGAUUUAUCUUGCAGGUGUGCACUAAUGGAGAUGAGACUUGACUCGCCUGAUUCGCCUAUGGGGAUGCUGACAGAUGUGAGGAAGUUCUUAACGAGUUCAUAGACAAGUUCAAAAUGACAAAGGAGACUGGACAGAAUAAUGAAGCAAUUUGGUUCAGGUUGGAGGAUCACCGAUUUAUAAAGUUGAUAGGCUACUUGUUUGCUGGAAACCGUUUUUUUUUUCUUUUUCUCUGCAGUGCAAAAACUUAUUGUAUUUUCUACUACUUCUCACCUGGAGAAUAAACUCGAGAAUGCUGAAUAUGCACUUUUCGAUCUAUAAGAGAGAUAGACAAGCAAAUGAGCAGGUGAACGAGAAUCUAUUUUAGUUUCUUCCAUUAGCUUAUUGAUGCAUACGAGCAGCGGAGAUUUCUAUUUCUUCAGCACCCAAGAAAACUUCGGUGUUGGAUACUUAUUCUGGAUUGCCUCUUUUCCCACCCCUCAACCUUUGUUUUGUGCAUGUUUGUUGUAUUUUGGAAUAAUAGUCUUAGUACCCUUGCUUUAUGCUUAUUGUUACAUUCGUGGUUGAAACCUGAUGAUU
This is a long non-coding RNA of Papaver somniferum (opium poppy), 2334 nucleotides long. RefSeq lists it as uncharacterized. Lineage: Eukaryota; Viridiplantae; Streptophyta; Magnoliopsida; Ranunculales; Papaveraceae. The transcript is spliced from 9 exons. The record is from RefSeq and is a predicted model, not a curated record.